This 216-nucleotide ribosomal RNA is filed under the name Triticum aestivum (bread wheat). RNAcentral's name for it is "partial small subunit ribosomal RNA". Lineage: Eukaryota; Viridiplantae; Streptophyta; Magnoliopsida; Poales; Poaceae. The record is from RNAcentral.
AUGGAGGAUGAUCCUAGACAGAAGUUUAAAGAGAAAGCUAUCGAUGAAUUAUCAAGGCUUGGAUUCACUGGGACUGAAAUCGUGAAUGCUGCCAGCAUAUUUGCCAAAGCUCCAGAAGAAAUGCAUAUGAUGCUUGCACUCCCGCAGAAUCUGAGGAGGGAGUAUGUUAAGAAAACGCUUGGUAAGUUAAAUUCAUGCACUAUUAUCUUGUUCUGA